Molecule: ribosomal RNA, 253 nt
Filed under: uncultured bacterium
Lineage: Bacteria
Description: partial 16S ribosomal RNA
Rfam family: Bacterial small subunit ribosomal RNA
Source: RNAcentral
UACGUAGGGGGCAAGCGUUGUCCGGAUUUAUUGGGCGUAAAGCGCACGCAGGCGGUCUUUCGCGUUUUGAGUGACAGGUGGGGGCUUAACUCCCACAGGCCUCAGAAGACGGGAAGACUUGAGGGCUUCAGAGGGACGCGGAAUUCCAGGUGGAGCGGUGAAAUGCGUUGAUAUCUACAGGAACUCCGGUGGCGAAAGCGGCGUGCUGGACCUUUUCUGACGCUGAGGCGCGAAAGCUAGGGGAGCAAACGGG